This 392-nucleotide ribosomal RNA is filed under the name uncultured bacterium. Its description in RNAcentral is "bacterial SSU rRNA". It matches the Rfam family "Bacterial small subunit ribosomal RNA", at positions 28 to 422 of the family's 1533-position model. The record is from RNAcentral.
GACGAACGCUGGCGGCGUGCUUAACACAUGCAAGUCGAGCGGUAAGGCCCUUUCGGGGGUACACGAGCGGCGAACGGGUGAGUAACACGUGGGUGACCUGCCCUCAGCUCUGGGAUAAGCCUGGGAAACUGGGUCUAAUACUGGAUAUGACUCCACGGUGCAUGUCGUGGGGUGGAAAGCCUUGUGCGGCUGAGGAUGGGCCCGCGGCCUAUCAGCUUGUUGGUGGGGUGAUGGCCUACCAAGGCGACGACGGGUAGCCGGCCUGAGAGGGCGACCGGCCACACUGGGACUGAGACACGGCCCAGACUCCUACGGGAGGCAGCAGUGGGGAAUCUUGCGCAAUGGGCGAAAGCCUGACGCAGCGACGCCGCGUGGGGAUGAAGGCCCUCGGG